Long non-coding RNA from Homo sapiens (human), 1176 nucleotides. Ensembl annotates it as maternally expressed 8, small nucleolar RNA host gene. Its record names the gene MEG8. The record is from Ensembl. NCBI's taxonomy places the organism in Eukaryota, Metazoa, Chordata, Mammalia, Primates, Hominidae.
CAAAAGAUCAUGAUUAAUCCAGUUCUGCACAAAACACUGAGGUCCAUUAGAAGACAAUAGGUCUUGGCUGUUUCAUUCCUUUUAAGAGCUGUUUAAUAUUCCACGGAGCCCUGGGCUCCCCCAGUGUUGCCUGGGUCUGACUUUGCCUCAGUGAAAACUGCCUCGAAUUCUUUCUUGCACCGAUGGGCAGAUGGGCAGUGUCGGAGGAUCGUGUCAUCUGUCCCGUGGCGCUGGUUGGCUUGGUCAAGUCAGUGUUCAAACUAUCUCCUGCUCUUUCAAGGGGAUCUGGGGCUCUAGAAGAUUAGAGGACUUGGAGAGGUUAGUGACUUGCUCGAGGUCGGCUAGGAAGCAAGACCCAGGAUUCCAACUCAGGUCUGUGUGAUUCCUCUGCAAAAUGGAGAGGUGGAAGGAUGGAUGUCAGGUCUGAUGGAUGGAUGGAUGCCUACAUCAAGAUACAUGCAUAGAUGGAGAGAUGGCUGGCUACCUCAUGAAUGCUGGACUGUUGUGAGAAUCAAACGAGAUAAUGUAUGCUGAGGCAUGCUGUGAACACUACGUGCUGGGUACAGGAGAAUGGAGGCUCCAGAGUGAAAUUAAUGACACUUUGUCGAUGAAGAUCUUGAUUGUGACCUCUGUGGAAAAUGAGCCAUGAACCAACCAAUAUGAAAAAUAAAAGAAAUCUACAUGGAUCCCACUUUGGACAAAGUGCGUGUCAACAGUUGCAUGAAAUGGUAUUUCACUUCUUGAUUAUUGUUUGUUUUUAUUCUUUUUUUAGAAAAAAUGAAUAAAUGAUCAAAUUAUUUUGGGGGUAAUUAAAUAAAAGAAAGAACACAAGUGAGUCAGUAAAUGCUUAAAUUAAGGUAGAUCUUGGAUCAUUGCUUCAUGGCACACUCUCAGAAAUGCUCAAAUAUGGUGCCUUAAAAAAAUUAAUGAGGUUUGGGUGUUGAUGUGGUUAGGGAGUAUACAGAUAGAUAGUUGUUAGUGGUUACAUUUAUUACUCUUGCAUUGGGUGGAUUUAAGGGUUCAUUAUAUUAAGAAUUAAACAGUAAGUAAAUUCAUACAUAAAAGGUAUGGUUAUUCUUGAGUCAAUAAUGAGAAUGUGUUAGGAACCAAGGUUUAUGAUUAAUCUAAAAUAAUUUCUAAAAGAAGUUAAGUCUUUGCUGUUUCGUUCUUUCUAAA